Molecule: unclassified non-coding RNA, 1050 nt
Filed under: Hevea brasiliensis (rubber tree)
Lineage: Eukaryota; Viridiplantae; Streptophyta; Magnoliopsida; Malpighiales; Euphorbiaceae
Source: RNAcentral
UAAUCACCCGCAUAUUUCAUUUCAUUAAAUAUAUAAACAAGCAAAAUGUUAAAUACACUUUCAAACAGUGAGCUAACCAUCUUAAUAGGUUGGUCUCAAUUAACAAUACCCCAAAACAAAACCAAAAUUAUGUUACAACCAAAUUACAUCUAUUUUCAAUCCUUCCAGUAUCCCCUGAGAGAAAAUUCCUGCAAAUCCUUUCCAAGCACUUCCUGUCUGGUUCAGCUUUUUCCAAUCCAAACUUGACAAUCUCAGCAUACCCAACCUCUAUGGAAUUGUUGUUGAGAAGGCGAUCAACGAGGUUAUAAAGAAUGUCUCUGGUGUACUCAGGAUGGCCUUGAAUACCCAAUAUAUGAUCUCCAAUGUUGAACAUUUCCACUCCUGUUUUGUCAGAGAAUGCAAUUACUUCUGCUCCUAAUGGAACCUCCAAUACCUCAUCUUGGUGGCACUCAAUUAUUGAUAAUGAAGCUGGGAUUUCGCUCAAGUUGCUCAGGAAGCUGCAUGGUGGCAAAUCCUUUACUAUUCUAAUUUUCCUUAUCCCAAUAUCCCACCCUGUGCAUGAUCUCCCUACCUUUCCACCUAAUGCUCUACACAGAACCUGAUGGCCAAAGCAAAUCCCAAGGACUUUUAUUUCCAUGGCGUCAAGAGUUUGCAAGAGAAAACAAAGCUUAAGAAUCCAAAGGUCAUUUCCAUAGGCAUCACAAGGGCUACCACUAAUUACAAAACCAUCAUAUUUAUGAAGGUCAUUCAUGUCAGGAAACUCUCCAUCAAGAACCAUAAACAAAUCCCAUUUCUCUCCUUCUUCACCAAAAGCUGCAAAAAACACAUUGAAGUAACUUCCAUGUACUUUCUUCACAUAAUCAGAGUCUCUUGCUGCUUGCAGAAGAGCAUAUCUUUUCUCUGCUGUAGCCUUCAUGAUGUUAUAUAUGAGAGUUGAAUGUGGGGUUGAAGCUAGAAGAGGAAGUAUUUCCAUGAGAGUUGAAGCCAGAAAUGUGGGCUUUUAUAGAGGGUGGAUUAUUGGAAUUGGAUUUUUGCACUGUGUAAUGUAAA